AUUGAACGCUGGCGGCAUUGCUUUACACAUGCAAGUCGAACGGUAACAGGUCUUCGGAUGCUGACGAGUGGCGAACGGGUGAGUAAUGUAUCGGAACGUGCCCAGUAUGGGGGAUAACUACUCGAAAGAGUGGCUAAUACCGCAUGAGAACUGAGGUUGAAAGCGGGGGACCUUCGGGCCUCGCGCUACUGGAGCGGCCGAUAUCAGAUUAGGUAGUUGGUGGGGUAAAGGCCUACCAAGCCGACGAUCUGUAGCUGGUCUGAGAGGACGACCAGCCACACUGGAACUGAGACACGGUCCAGACUCCUACGGGAGGCAGCAGUGGGGAAUUUUGGACAAUGGGCGAAAGCCUGAUCCAGCAAUGCCGCGUGCAGGACGAAGGCCUUCGGGUUGUAAACUGCUUUUGUACGGAACGAAAAGGUAGCUCCUAAUACGAGCUGCCGAUGACGGUACCGUAAGAAUAAGCACCGGCUAACUACGUG
This 482-nucleotide ribosomal RNA is filed under the name uncultured bacterium. RNAcentral describes it as "bacterial SSU rRNA". It matches the Rfam family "Bacterial small subunit ribosomal RNA", at positions 30 to 507 of the family's 1533-position model. The record is from RNAcentral.